RNAcentral lists this ribosomal RNA (164 nucleotides) under Adina fagifolia. RNAcentral's name for it is "Adinauclea fagifolia 5.8S ribosomal RNA". It matches the Rfam family "5.8S ribosomal RNA". From Rfam's summary of the family: 5.8S ribosomal RNA (5.8S rRNA) is a component of the large subunit of the eukaryotic ribosome. It is transcribed by RNA polymerase I as part of the 45S precursor that also contains 18S and 28S rRNA. The record is from RNAcentral. Lineage: Eukaryota; Viridiplantae; Streptophyta; Magnoliopsida; Gentianales; Rubiaceae.
CAUACGACUCUCGGCAACAGAUAUCUCAGCUCUUGCCUCGAUAAAGAACGUAGCGAAAUGCGAUUCUUGGUGUGAAUUGCAGAAUCUCGUGAACCAUCGAGUCUUUGAACGCAAGUUGUGCCCAAAUCCAUCAGGCUGAAGGCACGACUGCCUGGGCAUCACAC